Molecule: long non-coding RNA, 8271 nt
Filed under: Homo sapiens (human)
Lineage: Eukaryota; Metazoa; Chordata; Mammalia; Primates; Hominidae
Description: HSALNT0119748
Source: RNAcentral
CUAAAAGUGGAGCUGCUCAGAGGAUGGGGAGCAGAGAGAGGAAUCCUGGGGACAUUGGCUAAGCCCUAAUUUAAGUUGUGCCUGAAGCUCCCCUGGAUCUUUCAACUUUUCAGCAUCUAUCAGCCAAUACAUUCUUUUCUUUUAUGAGAAUUUGGGCUGAAUUUUCUGUCACAACCAAAAGAAGUGUUUUCCUUAAUGAACACACACACACACACACGUACACACAGACACAUAUGGACACACAUACACACGUACACAUAGACACAUGCACAUACAUACGUACAGACACACACAUAUGCAUACACACACAUAUACACAAACGUACACACAUAUACACACACACACAGAUGUCCCUGAUUUUUCUUUAUUUUUAUUGCUUCUGAUUUAAGUAUGCUUCAUUUAAUAGACAGGGCAUUUUGUUUUCUUUUUUUACACCAGCACUGAACAAUCAAACUUUCUUCAGGGAUGGAAAUGUUUUACAUCUGCACUGUCCAGUGAAGUCCCUGGACUGGGUAAAAGUGCCUAGAAAGAGAACGUUGACAAAGAAAAGAAGAGGCCAAGGAUGGGGGUCUGAUGAAGGAGGAAGAGCUAGCAGAUGAGAAAUGGCCAGUAGAGUUGAAGGAGUCCAGAUAAAUGCGUAGCACAGAAGCCUAGAGAAGAACAUGUCUCAAGAAGGGGGAACCGACCAUUCCUACUGUGUGCAGCUGAGAAAUCAAAGAAGAUGUGGGUAGAGAACUGCUGUUACUGAUAAAUGCCCAUUCAGUGGUGUGGCAGAGAUGAAAGCCCAUUGGAGUGGGCUGAGGAUGAGAAUGAAUGAUGAGGAAACGUAGACCUUGGGGUUGGAUGACUCCCUCCAGAAAUUUUUCAGUAAAAGGAAACAGGGAACUGCGCAAUAGUUAGAGGGAGCAUGGGAUCACUUUUUUUGAGAGAGAUGAUACUAAGUAAUUUUUAUAAUAUAUGCUAGUAGGAAAGAUCCAGUAGUGAAGGAGAAGUCAGUGGUGCACAAGAGGAAGGAGACAGCUUCAGGAUUGACACCCUUGAGAAGGUGAGAAGGGCUGGAUUCACAACAUACACAUGCUUCUCCGCAAACAGGACCCUUUGUGUCUAAUACAGCACUGACUCAGUAAAUAAACUGAAACUUGAAAAGGUAGAAACAGAAAGCCAGUGUUCUUUCCCACCACCAUGCCACAGAACUACCUUUCUCAACUUGUACUUUCCUGCUCCUGGACAAAAGCUCCAGAACAUCUCAUGGCUUUUUCAAUUACUCUCAGAUAACAACAACAACAAAAAAAUCCAUUAGUCAUGUUUAGCACCCUGUGUAUUAUCAACACUCCAAAAUUUAAUUUUAAGUUUCUCCUCUCCUCUAGCUCUGGCCUUUGCCACACCAGGAAAUCACCAGUGAGGGAAGGGUAGGAGAAGUUGCUUCUCCUUUCCUGCUUGCUUCACCUCAUCCACAGUCAGUCUGACCUGCUGGUUUGUUUUUGUUUUGUUUUGUUUUGCUUUUUUGGCAGUUCCAUGGCUGGAAUCCAGUAGGUAAGAAAGGUAAAAGAAAGGCCUUAUUCAGUUGGUGUGUUAUAAUUCAGCAUAGAUGCCCUUUCAGGAUGCAGAAUUUAAGUACUAAUUUUCUCUCUUCUGAAGCAUUUUUAUAGAUUCUUCAAAGACAUCCAAUAGAUAAGAAUCUCCCAAAGAGAUCAGCUGGACCCCUGCCCCAUGGUUUCCGACAGUUCAUCUCCAUCUGUUGAGGUCACCUUCUCUCAAGGUCCUCUCGGUGUCUACUACAAAAUGAUCCAAUCUAGUCCCUUCCAUGGGGUUCUCAUCUGACUGAGGGGAAACACCUUUGCCCCACCAAACCCUGGAAGUACAACUUAUGACCAAUGAAACUCUCUAUUCCAUGGCUCCAGAGCAGCAAACUAGAGACAGUCUCCCCUCUUCAAACUUCUCAUGUUUUCCUUCAUACUCCGGGGGACACGUGUCAACUUCUCUGAGAGUUUAUCUUCCAGCUCUCCUUAGUUGGUUUGAAAUGGCAGGUGUAUUCCCUCCCCUCCCUCCCCAAUGCCCCCACACACUGACAACUCUCUCCAAAGAUGCUCUCCACCCUGGCAUCUCUGAUCCUCUCUAUUAUGUCACCUGGACCUGGCCAAUGGACUAAUGCCAGCAACACAGAUGUCACUGUCUCUAAGCAUAUCCUGCCUAGAUGGUUCAAUACCUCCCUUUGGAAUACUGGAAUAUUUGGUUCUCAAACUUGGGGUACCUGCCAAAACUCUGAGAGCAAAUGAAUCUCAUUUUAAUAUUCUACAGAAAUCCAUAAAAAGAGGGUGAGUGCAUAAACAGUCAGUGUCACUGCUGUGGCCAGAGUUUGCCUGAUAUUGCAUUUGACUUUCAUAAAUUAUUCCUUCCAGCAUCCUUCUUCCUAACCAUUUAUCUUUCUUAUACUCUACAGCAGAAGUAGGAAGGGGCAGGGAGACCACAUGCCAUUACAAAGGUUGUUAACUGCACAAGGCACCUGGCUGAGGAGGUGAAUGGUAAAUAAAAUAUAAAGUACUGUUUGUUUUAGGUCCCCAGCUUGGGGCUGCACAGUCCUUGAGGGUAACCUGUUUUAUUUCAUUCUCAAAAAGGUGUCUCAUGGCUUAGCAGAGGCCCUGGAAAGAAGCUACAGAAACACAGGAGGAAUCACUCGUCCAAACAGAAUGAUAAUGGCUCUGUGGUAGAAGAGAGAGCACUAUAAUAGUAGUAUGAGAUUUAUCUUUGCCCAAAAGGAUGAUGUGACCUAAUACAGAAAAUCCAGGAGGCACACUGAUUGGGGCUGGCAAGAAGGGAUAAGCAAAGAUAGACUCCAACCAGGAAGAAUGAGCAGAAUUUGAACUGGAUUAAAAAGAUUCCAGACCCUGCCCAUGGGGUUAGCGAUGCGAUCUGAGUACACCUCCCACCCCUUUCCUUGCCUGGAACAUUUGACCCUCUGAAGUCAUCCAAAAGAUCUGGAUCAGGGGUGGCUAAGAAACUACGUAUGUCUAUGAAUGAUGGAGGUAAUGGCUGUUUGCAUCUCCCUUAGGUUAAUACUCAGAAAUAAAUAUAAAUUCUAGGAAGGAAGCUUCUGAUUGUGUAGUUAUGGUAAAUUACUUUGGUUUAAACUACCAACUGUACCUGGACUGGUGAGAGAGUGAGUGAGAGUGAGCAAGUAAGGCAAAAGAGAGAGAGACUGAUUAUGGUUAUUAAGUUUCUCGAAAACCCUUAGCUACAUGUUGGCUUCUUCUUGAUAUAACACAAAACAAACUACUCUCCUAAGUAAACCAAGAAUAUUAAAAACUUCUUUUUUUUUUUUUUUUUUUUUGAGUCAGGGUCUCACUCUUUUGCCCAGGCUGGAAUGCAAUGACGUAAUCACAGCUCAUUGCAUCCUUGACUUCCCAGGCUCAAGUGAUCUUUCCACCUCAGCCUCCCAAGUAGCUGGGACUACAGGCACAAGCCAUCAUGCCCAGCUAAUUUUUAUUUUUUUAAAUCUUUUUGUAGAGAUGGUGUCCCAUUGUGUUGUCCAGGCUGGUCUUGAACUCCUGGCCUCACGCGAUCCUCCCACCUCAGCCUUCCGAAGUACUAUUACAGGUGUGAGCCACUGCGCCUGGUCAAAAAAUUCUAAUCCUUAAGAGAGUAACACAAAGCCCUAAGGUAAAUUACCUUGUUUAUUAUAGAAUAAAGGUAGACUUAAAGGCAGGUACUUUCUUCUCCUAGCUCGCAUUGCAUUUAGUAUUCAGUAUAACCUGCUAUUUAUAAAGUUAUCCAAAGGCAUCUUGGCAUGAACCAAACCACACAGACAAGAUAACAUCACUUCCCUGGGAAUUGCUAAGCUUCCUUUGGUCUCUCCCCUGUCAGCAGAGGCAGAGAGGUGCUGCCUCAAUCCUAGCAUACUGGAGACAUGAUUUUUCCACUGCAAGUUGCAUCCUAUUCCAUAGCCACAUGGGAUCCUGACAACUGAGGACUAAAGUAGACAGUGAGCCUCUGAGCAAAUUCACUGUUGAUGGGCUUGUCACUAAAAAUUCACUUCAGUUGUACAGAACCAAACCAAGUAUUACAGGAGAAGGGAUUUGCCUCGCAACCAGAAAAUAGACGUUACUCUCCAUACUAGCCUUAGAGAUUCUCAGCACUGCAGGACAAUAAACAUGAGCAGGUUGGACUCCUUGCCUGAUGUGAGAAUUCCUCUGCAGCAUCCUUGUCAAAUUCUCAUCUAUUGGUAGAAGUAGAAUUGCUGGGUAGAAGAAAAGCACAUUAUUACCUUUAUCGGCACUAAGAAAUCACACUCCGAAAAGGUUAUAACAAGUUAUACUCCCUUCAAUUAGGUUUUACGUUGUCUCCUAUUCUCACUAAUACCAGACAUUCAACAUUAUGAGAUUAUUUAGUUUUGUCAAAUCUGAUUUACCAAAUAGUAUAUCUGCAUAUAUGCAUACCUAUAUCAUAUAGAGUGGGUAUUUUAAUUUUUUUUUUUUUUUUGAGAUGGAGUCUUACUCUGUUGCACAGGCUGGAGUGCCACUGUGCCAUCUCAGCUCACUGCAACCUCGGCCUCCUGAGUUCAAGUGAUUCUCCUGCCUCAGCCUCCCAAGAAGCUGGGAUUACACACACACCACCACCAUACCCAGGUAAUUUUCGUAUUUUUGUAGAUACGGGUUUCACCACAUUGACCAGGCUGGUCUCAAACUCCUGACCUCAAGUAAUCUGCCGGCCUUGGGCUCCCAAAGUGCUGGGAUUACAGGCAUGAGCCACCACACUCGGCCUAAUUUGUAUUAUUGAUAUUAGCAGGUUUAUUGCUAAUUAGUGUUUCUUCUUUGAGUUUUUCUUUUUCCUUAUUUUUUUCUGUAUAAGCCUUUGAUCUGCUAUGUAUGUUGCAAAUUUUUCCCCAUCUUUCUCACUUGUUCUUUAACUUUGUUCAGAGUAUAUUCUGUCAUGUAAAUAUUUUAAAUUUUCAUGUGGUCAAAUAUGUUGGUCUUUUAGGAUUUCUAGGUUUUACACUGUGCUUAGAAAGGCCUUUCCUAUCUCAUGAUGAUAAAAAUACUCAUUCUUCUGGAGUUUUGUUGUCAUCUUUUUGCAAAUCAUUUAUUCAUCUAGAUAGAGCCUGAAUAUAAAGAUCUAACUUUUUUCUUUCCAAAUAGUUUAAAAGACCUCUUAUACCUCCAUUCUCCAAUCUGAAUAGCUGAAUGAAUGAGAGAGUGAAAAAUAGUACUGGCAAUUAGUUGAAUGGGCUCUUACUGUUUUUCACCACCGCCUCAGAUCCAGGACAAAGGGAAGGGACUGAAUUCCCAUUCUGCAGAGGUUACACCUCCCUCCUUAUUUUGUCAUAUCUUCCCUGAGUCUAUAUAAUAAUUAGUUAGCAAAAUAACAUAAUUGGAAAAAAAGCUUCUCUGAGAUGUGUAGAUACUUUCUCAAAUGUGCACUGACUAAGGUCUUAUCAUAAUUUUCUUAAGGAACAACUCUCUUUCCAUCCUAAAUGCCAGACCAAUGAUAUGAUCUUUGGCAAUGUACUCUGGAAGAAAUAAAGUAGCAUCUCAUUCAUUCCUUGCUGUCUUCAGAUGACAGUCUAUGGAGUAUGGGUGUAUUUGUAGGGGUGAAAGUGACAAAAAAGAAGGCAAGCCAUAUGAAGAUUAUAUCUGCUUAAAAUUGACACGUUUAAAUUUCUGCAAAGAUUCCAGACACUGUUUUAAGACAGCUGAAAAACCACUAAACUAUUCUGCCCACAUGCCCCAAAUAUUCUAUCUCACCAUAACCCUCUUGGAUUUACACAUACCAAAAUGCUCAAGGGCCAUUUCCUGAAUUUCUGCCAAAUGUUCCGAUAACACUUCAGCUUAGAUUAAUUCAAAUUCCAAGGAAAACACCAAAGUGAUUUAUGACAAGGAAAAAGAGAUAUUUAAACUAAAAACAUAAUCAACAGUAAUUUACAAACUGAAGAUAAUUUUAUGUCACUACUCAAUUUUGGAAAAGCAACUCUUGUAGGAAUUUCCCUUCUCUCCCCCAGUGUACAAAUAGCCAGACUUUUCAUGUGGACAUCACUAUUUACAGUAAAUGGAAGACCUUGCAUCUCACUUCUAAAAAUAGGAAAAGAAGACCACCAGAAUCUAGAAGAGCUGCUGUCAGAACUUAUGAUAGGAAGCAAGUGACUCUGAGGUGCAAAGAGUGGACUGCGGUGAACCUGCAGUGUAUCACCCAGGUUUAUCGCCCCCUUCAGGACUCAAGCACUCAUUUCCCCACCUGCAGGGAAUGUUGGUGGCUAACAGCUAUCAGCUCUUGCUCUUCAGGCAUUGCCCUUUGCUGAACAGUUUCUUUGCCCAAGAUCACAUCCCCAUCCCAGGGACAUCUGAUAUCCAAUGAUUAACUGAUGUAGGGCUAUAAGACCAACCUCAAUUCAAAAUAACCUUGAAGGGUUAUUGCAGCUACACAGCCACUGAUGGGAUUAGUGAAGUUUUCUUACAACUGCAUCAGAAUUCUCCUUCUCCCUGUGCCCAGUAAUGCUAUCUACACUUUCCCAAAAGUACCGAUCUCAAAAGGACUCCUCAGUAACGUUCCUGCAUGCAAAUCUCCAUCUCAUAAUCUGUGUCCCAAGGAACCCAACCUGCAAUGCAUGCAUUGUCUCAUUUGAUCCUCUCCACAAGAUCAGAACUGCUAUUAUCCCUAUUUUACAGUGGAAAUUCAAGCCCCAAGAGCUUCAGUAAACUUGCAAACUCCCUGAUUUUAGAGUCUAUGCUCUUAACCAACCUGGAUCAGCAAACUGUAAUCCCUAUGCUAGAAUUAGGCAAAUAUUUCCCUGGAUGAGACGCUCUAGGUGCAGCCAGCUGAGCACUAACUAGUCAGAUGUUUCUUUUCAUCAUGUGUUCCCUGGGACCUACCUGGAAAUUUCAAAGGAAGAGGAGUCCUCCUGACAUGAUCAGCUGCCACCCCAGCCACCUGGGUCCCAGAUCUCAAGAUAACUGGAGUGACCCAAAUGCAGAUCUUGGUCUUCUGAAUCCAGUUGUUUAAUAAGUGAUUUGUGGCUGGACAGUUACAUAACUGUAGAGAUCACCCAGGUUUGUAUGGGGUCUCACUUCCCUCUCCACCCUCAGAUUGUCUGUCCCUCCCUAGAGUAAAGCUACGUCACAUAGUCUCCCCCAAGUUCCAAUGUGUUAGUGCCAGAUAUACGGAAUGCUUGUUGGGAAUGUGGCUUAAACUGUCUCUACUGUGACAGAAGGACAGACUGUCAUCAACUGCUGCAGGUAACCUAGAAACCCUUUGUCUUUCACAACAACUUUUUGUUAUUUUAUUCUCUGAGCCAUCUCUUAGACAAUGUCUGGAUUCCCAUCAACUUCUGCACAUAAACAAUAUUUAUAAGUAACCAGGCAGAGCAAUGGAGUGUGUUUAGUCAUUUUGCAUAAGAACUUCCCUUGCACAAGUUCUAUAUAUAACUCAGUUGGCAACCCCCUUUUCUACCCAUUGAGGCACCAGUGCAGAACAUGUUCUUAGGAGCACUCACAGCCCCUCCACUGUGGGUUUCUUGAGGUAAUAGAAAGAAAAUUCCAGGUGUUACUGUUCCCCAACCCCUUAAAUACACAGCCCCCAGUGUCUCCUACACUUAGCCCCCAUUACUCCCAAUCAUGGUUCCUCUGUUUAUGAAGGUCUGCCUCCUUCCUCUGCCCCACAUGUCAACCUCAUUUCUGUCCUUGUUCUCUUCCCAUGGCACUUUCCAGCCUUCUCCCCACAGCAGGAUCUCCUUUGACUCUCUUCAAUAAUCUGCAUACACUGUGUGCUUCCCCAAGAUACCAUCCCUGAAGAGCCCCAUUUCACUCUGACUAUUCACAAAGCCUCAUUAGCAUGUUCUUGUACAGUACUCACUAGCUUUGAAUGGAACCUCAUGCCCUUUUAGAGUCAGAAUACUAAGUUCAGACACUGCCACUUACAGGAAUGUGAUCUGGGGGAAGUUCCUUAACUUCUCCAAGCUUCACUGUUUUCACUUGUAAAAUGGCAAUAGUAAAGCCUACCCAAUGUGCUUGCAGAGAGGACGAAUGAGGUAACGCAGUAAAAAGUAACCUUUAAAUUUUAAAGUUCUAUAUGAAUGUGAGUUAUCAUUAUUGUGUUGUUUCUCCCCUCUGAGCUCUCUGAGGUCACAUCUUUUACUUCCUUUCUCUCCCUGGGUCACACACAGUGACAGUAACACUGUAAGCUAAUAUUAGAUGCAGAAUUAAGAAUGAAUAAAAGAAAACCACUCACCAAUCAGAAUUAGGCAAAAUCCUAACCAUAUUAAAUCUAUUGUAGACUGUUCCACAG